UACGUAGGGGGCUAGCGUUGUCCGGAAUCAUUGGGCGUAAAGAGCGCGUAGGCGGCCAAGCAGGUCCGUUGUGAAAACUGGAGGCUUAACCUCCAGACGUCGACGGAAACCGCGCGGCUAGAGUCCGGAAGAGGAGAGUGGAAUUCCUGGUGUAGCGGUGAAAUGCGCAGAUAUCAGGAAGAACACCAAUGGCGAAGGCAGCUCUCUGGGACGGUACUGACGCUGAGACGCGAAAGCGUGGGGAGCGAACAGG
This 253-nucleotide ribosomal RNA is filed under the name uncultured bacterium. RNAcentral describes it as "partial 16S ribosomal RNA". It matches the Rfam family "Bacterial small subunit ribosomal RNA", at positions 524 to 776 of the family's 1533-position model. The record is from RNAcentral.